RNAcentral lists this transfer RNA (84 nucleotides) under Candidatus Liptonbacteria bacterium. Its description in RNAcentral is "tRNA-Leu". It matches the Rfam family "tRNA". From Rfam's summary of the family: Transfer RNA (tRNA) molecules are approximately 80 nucleotides in length. Their secondary structure includes four short double-helical elements and three loops (D, anti-codon, and T loops). Further hydrogen bonds mediate the characteristic L-shaped molecular structure. tRNAs have two regions of fundamental functional importance: the anti-codon, which is responsible for specific mRNA codon recognition, and the 3' end, to which the tRNAs corresponding amino acid is attached (by aminoacyl-tRNA synthetases). tRNAs cope with the degeneracy of the genetic code in two manners: having more than one tRNA (with a specific anti-codon) for a particular amino acid; and 'wobble' base-pairing, i.e. permitting non-standard base-pairing at the 3rd anti-codon position. The record is from RNAcentral. Lineage: Bacteria; Candidatus Liptoniibacteriota.
GCUGAGGUGGCGAAAUUGGCAGACGCGCAAGGUUUAGGACCUUGUGGGAGCAAUCCCGUGGGAGUUCAACUCUCCCCCUCAGCA